CGUAUAGUAUAGUGUCGUGUCGUGUCGUCUCGUCUCGUCUCGUCUCGUCUGGUAUGGUAUGGUAUGGGGCCUGUAGCAUAGAGGAUUAGAGCACGUGGCUACGAACUACGGUGUUGGGGGUUCGAAUCCCUCCUCACCCAC
RNAcentral lists this small RNA (141 nucleotides) under Helianthus annuus (common sunflower). RNAcentral's name for it is "hypothetical non coding rna". The stretch from base 67 to 140 matches the Rfam family "tRNA". From Rfam's summary of the family: Transfer RNA (tRNA) molecules are approximately 80 nucleotides in length. The record is from RNAcentral. Lineage: Eukaryota; Viridiplantae; Streptophyta; Magnoliopsida; Asterales; Asteraceae.